GCUUACGUUUCGUAUCAAUACUUC
Molecule: small nuclear RNA, 24 nt
Filed under: Arabidopsis thaliana (thale cress)
Lineage: Eukaryota; Viridiplantae; Streptophyta; Magnoliopsida; Brassicales; Brassicaceae
Description: snRNA_09564
Source: RNAcentral